GGAGAGGUGUCCGAGCGGUUGAUGGUGCGGCUCUCGAAAAGCCGUGAGGCGCAAGCCUCCGUGGGUUCGAAUCCCACCCUCUCCGCCG
RNAcentral lists this transfer RNA (88 nucleotides) under Chloroflexota bacterium. Its description in RNAcentral is "Chloroflexi bacterium (hot springs metagenome) tRNA-Ser". It matches the Rfam family "tRNA". From Rfam's summary of the family: Transfer RNA (tRNA) molecules are approximately 80 nucleotides in length. Lineage: Bacteria; Bacillati; Chloroflexota. The record is from RNAcentral.